UGGGGAAUAUUGCACAAUGGGCGAAAGCCUGAUGCAGCAACGCCGCGUGAGUGAUGAAGGCCUUCGGGUUGUAAAGCUCUGUCUUCUGGGACGAUAAUGACGGUACCAGAGGAGGAAGCCACGGCUAACUACGUGCCAGCAGCCGCGGUAAUACGUAGGUGGCAAGCGUUGUCCGGAUUUACUGGGCGUAAAGGAUGCGUAGGCGGAUACUUAAGUCAGAUGUGAAAAUCCCGGGCUUAACUUGGGAACUGCAUUUGAAACUGGGUAUCGAGAGGGCGGGAGAGGAAAGUGGAAUUCCUAGUGUAGCGGUGAAAUGCGUAGAGAUUAGGAAGAACACCAGUGGCGAAGGCGACUUUCUGGACCGUAACUGACGCUGAGGCAUGAAAGCGUGGGGAGCAAACA
This 402-nucleotide ribosomal RNA is filed under the name uncultured bacterium. RNAcentral's name for it is "bacterial SSU rRNA". It matches the Rfam family "Bacterial small subunit ribosomal RNA", at positions 355 to 774 of the family's 1533-position model. The record is from RNAcentral.